Non-coding RNA from Phrynosoma platyrhinos (Desert horned lizard), 70 nucleotides. The record is from the annotation of a GenBank genome assembly. Lineage: Eukaryota; Metazoa; Chordata; Lepidosauria; Squamata; Phrynosomatidae.
GUGAGUGGUGUAGCGGUCUGAACGUUAGACUACGACUCUGGAGACCAGGGUUCGAUUCCCCACUCGGCCA